AAUAUUAACUAGGGGAGCCUAUAUCGAUAGGCUGAGAAAGAGAUGUUAUCUCUGACCCUCAUAACCUGAUGUGGUUAAUCCCACCGUAGGGAAGUGUGUUAUAGUAAGU
This 109-nucleotide non-coding RNA is filed under the name Paramaledivibacter caminithermalis. Its description in RNAcentral is "Clostridium caminithermale TPP sequence". It matches the Rfam family "TPP riboswitch aptamer (THI element)". Rfam says of the family: Vitamin B(1) in its active form thiamin pyrophosphate (TPP) is an essential coenzyme that is synthesised by coupling of pyrimidine and thiazole moieties in bacteria. The previously detected thiamin-regulatory element, thi box was extended, resulting in a new, highly conserved RNA secondary structure, the THI element, which is widely distributed in eubacteria and also occurs in some archaea. Lineage: Bacteria; Bacillati; Bacillota; Clostridia; Peptostreptococcales; Caminicellaceae. RNAcentral also lists the same sequence under 1 other name. The record is from RNAcentral.